UUUUGUGAUAAUCAUCGUCAUAACAUUGUUUUGUUAUAGUGCCUUGAUGACUAUUUGUACCACACUGCAGGAGGCAACAGGUACCAGCUGCAUGUAUGUAUGUUUCACAUUGUCAUCUUCUUAGCAAUGGAAUAUGUGAUUAUGAUCCAAGGCUCUAAAUCUUUUUGAUGAUUAACAUCGAUCUGGCCAUGGAAUAUUGAAGCUCAAGUAUUGACUUGUUUUGCGUUGUUGAAGAAACAUUAAUUUUACGAAGUGGCUACGGAACCGGUACCGGUUUCCAUUUUCAAGGUCUUUUAGAACCGGCAUGAUCACGUGGUGCCUAAACCACGCCCAUUUUAACGAGCUAAUUAAAUAGUAAUUAUUGAUUAAUCAUUAUCUGAAAUUAACUUCCUUAUUUUCUUUCUUUAAUUUUGUUUAUCUCACAAUUAUUCAUCAUUGUUUCUUUGAAUUCACUCUUUUUAUUGUUAUAGUUUAUCAAAGUACUUUUUUAAUCCAAA
Long non-coding RNA from Amphimedon queenslandica, 497 nucleotides. RefSeq lists it as uncharacterized. NCBI's taxonomy places the organism in Eukaryota, Metazoa, Porifera, Demospongiae, Haplosclerida, Niphatidae. The record is from RefSeq and is a predicted model, not a curated record. The transcript is spliced from 3 exons.